GAUGGAUACAGCAGAGCUAGUAUUCUCCAGUCGUGAAGAUCUUUGCUUUAUUCCUCUGGGGGAGGAGCCGAUUAGGCCAUAAUGGCUGCCCCUCAGCUGUUUUAGUCAUUAUUUGAUGAUGGAGAUCUUAACUCUUACCUGUGUGGCCAAGGACAGUAUAGAUCAGGCUCCUGACCCCGGAUUUCACCUGCCGUUCCUGGCUCGCAUCCGUCCUCCGUCGCCGACUUGGAAUGUGGCCCUCUCCUUCGUGAGGAUUUGAUUUCGACACAAACCCUUGGCCUUGGCCUUGCUGCUUCAGACCGAAUCAGGAGAGACAGCAGUUUGUGCCUCUGGACAAGUCCCCGGAGCCCUCCCAGUGCCCCGCCCCUCGUUUGUCACAGGGAAGUAGAUUUCAUUCGUUCAUUCCGCAGGGCUCUCCGUGCGCGGCCCCGGUGCGGGCGCAGGUCCGGCUCGGGGAGCCGGGGUCCGCCCCGCAGGCCAUGCUGGCGGGCCGGGAGUCUGCACCCCGAGCUUCGUGCUCUGGACGCGCGCCACUGCCCCAGCGCACAGCACCUGCCGUCCCUGUCACGCUGCUUGCCUUGUCGUCCCCACGUCUUCCCUCUCAGCCUCCCCAGGCUCACGGGGGACCUCAGUGUCCUCUGGGGACCUUCACGGAGGGUGACUUUCCUCCUUCCCUCCAUCGGAGCCUUGAGCUGGAGCCAAUGACUGCCCAGCUUAGUUAGCCUCAGUUUCCCCACCUGUAAAAAUGGAAGAAGGAUGAGGACACGAAUCUCUGCCAUGGCCGCUGGGCCUGCCGGGGAGAGAGAAGGGUUUCUGUUGUGGAACCCUAGUCCCGACCCCUUCUCCUCUGUCCCAUCCAGGCCCCUGAUCCUCACUCGUAAUUUGGGGGCCAGUUUGUCAUAUUUUCUUCCCCUUCAGAGCUGAGGCUUCUCCUACCAACACGUGCUUUCUCAAUACGAUCAAGUAAAACCUGGCCCACUAGCCUGGCGGGGCGGGACCCCACCCAGCAGGUGAUCCUGGUGUCAGCGGGAACCGGGGAGUCCACCAGCUGGAGCUGCUGGCGGCCGCCCAGAGGGGACGAAGGCCUGGCGCACGUGUCCUUGCCUCGGCCUCCCUUUGCUCAGUGGUCCCCCCGCCUCCGCUGCCCCCAGGCGCUGCUGGGCUCCCGGCCUCAUUUUCUGACAGGCCCUCCCGCGGGGCUUUUUGGGGAACCCCAGACUGGAGUUUGGACUUCUUUAAGGGCCAUUUGUCAUCUCUCUCUGCCCCUGGGGUCCCUCUGCUGCUGCCUUUCAACUCUAGACCCCCAUCCCCUCUCCUCCAUGCCCAUCUCUCAUAUAUGUACCCUUUGCAUGGUCCCUCUUCCCGCCCCCCGCCCCCAAAUCCCACCGCUCUGCAAGCCGCCUAUCCAGUCACUUAGUCCCCCGGUGAGCCGUGGGCCCAUGUCUUUGGUUCAGCUGUUUAUACAGCUGGCACGUGGCUUGAAGCAGCCACACCUGAGCCGCAGGUGAGGUCACUGAGGAUGGUCCCUGAGCUGCCUCUCCCAGGCUCUUUCUCCUGGCCACCCCUUCUCGGGGACUGAGGCCACCUGCCCGGAGGAAGAGCAGGCAGAGCAACGAGCGAGGGGAGCUGGGUUGGCUGGAAGAUGAGGCCAUACUACAUAGUGGCCGUUAUCUGGGGUGCAACUGGGCGUGAAGCGAAGUCGUUUUACGAGCUGGAAAGUGCUGGGCAGAUGUUGGAGAAAUGAGGCGGGGAGAGACCCUUCUUGGACCCUCGGCCCGCCUCCACGUGGCCCCCCAGGGAGCCACCCCUCCCCCAUGUUGCGAGCCUGUUGGUGGGUGCUGCUGCAUUUGCCACCUCACUAAAGGGCCAGAGUCGCGGGGGCCACAUCACCGGCCCCCUCACGGACAAGGAAGCUCUGAUGGGCGCAGCAAGGCCCGCUCGGCCCCACGUCCAGGGCGUGCCCCAUGCCCCGCAGUGGCCCCGUCUCCACUUGUCCCUCCUGGGCGCACGGGUGGAGGGUGGAGAGUAAGGGCUGCUCCGCGCAGAGCCUGAGUGCGGGGAGGGCUUUGGGUGCUGAGGGCACCGAAGCUCAUGUUUACGGUUUGCUCAUCGGAAGGCAAGAACUUACACUCUCCUGGCCAAGUCUGCCAUUCGGCAACCUUUCAUAAAAGCCCUGCAGGGAAGCUUCUGGAAAACUCCCUUCCUGCUUCUGACAGUUGCCCCAAACAGCAUGUUUCAAAAUGCGCAGAACACGUGGGCUGCGGAGCUCAGAGCUCGCUCUGGCCCGGCCGUCAGGGCGGUGGGCGCACAGCUACCGUCGCACUGCCUAGGCUUGCCCCUGCCCACUUGUCCCCAGACUCCCACUUCCGUGACCGUGGGGAGAGCCUUAAAUGGGUGCUCGUCUGUCUGUGGUUGAGACCAGCCCAUUUCUUGCACGGCAGAGAGAACCUGGCCGAGCUUAGCUCCUGGGCCAGAGCGGGGUGGCCCGGACCACGCUGAUCGGAGCAGGGAGUGCGUGGCUGGAGCACAGCCCCCCAGUCCAGUCUGCGGUGUGGCCAGCGUGGGUCUCAGCCUCCAGUGUCAGGGCUGGUGGGGGGCUGCACGACCAUGGGGCUGUGUUUCAGGAGGUCCCCAGCACAGGGAGGUCCCCAAAGCUGUGGCUUGGUUCUGUGAUAGGUUUAUAGAUGGGCAUUAAAGCCUUAAAAAGUUGAUUAAAAACGUUAUAAAAAGAGACUUCAUGGACCAGUGAAGGCUGGUGUCACAGAAUAAGGACUGCGAUCAGUCCACCUCUGUGUUUACCUGAGGUCGCAGACAAUAACAGUGACACUAACAACAGCAAGGAUGCCACGAGCUGAAAUCCGAGAGCCCGAGUCUGCCAGGCCGGCCCCAUGGGGCCCCUGUGUUCCUUAUCUCCGCAGACUCCCAGUGAGACCAGAAACCGAGGUCGUCGGCCUCUCCUCCCUCUCCUCCACCCUGCUCCAGCCUGAGUGCCCCGCAACCCCCAUUCACACCUCCUAGCAGCUCUGUCACACUGGGAAGGUGUCCCUGCCACCCCAGCCCCAACUGGAGCACAAGACCUGCCCCGUACAGAACUCCCGUGCUUAGUCCCAAAGCGGCCGUGCUACCCGGGAUGAUGAGUACCCUGCGGGCAGGACCAGGCUCUGCUCCAGCUCCUGUCCCCGUGACGGGCCUCCCAUUCUCAGACCGCCCUGUCCAGGAGUGUCGACACGUUCCCCGAGCCCUGUAGGUGAGGCAUGUGCUCAAACAGCUGGGUUUGGUUUUGUGACUUGACCCUCUUGUCUCGAAAGGUCAUUGCCACCGAGCCCCGGAGGUGUGGACGCUUGAGCGCAAGGCUGCUGAAGAGAGGAUGCCUCUGAUGGUGAAGCUGUCACUUCCUGGGAGGACUUCCCAAGCCGUUGCCCACCUGGAGGAAGAUGGCAGUCCCACGACAGCUCUGUGCCGGACUGUGCAGGAGGUGGUGCCGAUGUCAGGGAGGAGGCUGUGUUGCCAUCGAUGGUCCCUCUCUCUGGCCCUCGAAGACAGCUGUCCUUAGGCAUGUUCGUUUCUUUUACAACAAAUCAUUCCUGCCGACUCCUGCAGUAUCAAAAACUGGCUGGGAACACUUCCUGCACGACAGAACUUGUCACCCCCAUCCAGGGAGGACUUUGUGGAGGUGACGCCGAGCUCCGGGAAAGGAAGCGGCUCCUGGCCAGCUCUAAAGCCAAGGCACAGAGGUAGGAUACAGAUGUACAUCUGUUUUGAUGGCAGUAGGCCAUGACUCUGGGCUCUUUUGUAUGGCGUUUAGAAAGCGGCAUUGAGUCCUCAAAAAGGGCCAGGUUUUCCCACUCCAUCCCCACUUUGAUGAGAGCCAGACCAGGUGCGGUGGCAUGGACGCCUGGCAUAGCCUGCCUUUCGUAUCAGCUGAGGCCCAAACAUCGUUCCUUCUACUUGAAAAGAGCCUUGAGAGCAAGGGCGAGAAAGACAAGGAAACGGGACCGUGGCAAGUGCGCCACUGCCUCUGUCGUCUCCAGGGCAGGUGGCCGCUGGGUUCUGGCAGACUGGGCGCUCUGGUGGUUAAGCAGGAGUCAGAGGAGAGACUGCAAGGGUGUAGGGACGCAGCAUACGCAGCGAUUCUUUGUCCUCUGCCCUAGCGGCCAGCUCGGGAGAGCGGGGAGGGCGCAAAUGCGUAACUCUGUAAGAGGAAACCUGGAACUUUCUUCCCCUUGAUUUUGGGUUCCUAUCUUCCCAGUGCUGUCAGGGUUGACCGAUCAUUCUACUGAAAUGAAAAAACGUCUGUGGAUAGCAACAUUUCCCCCACAACGAAAAAACUGUGAUUAAAGUAGUAAAUAUCGCUCCGGAGGAUUUUCUGGAUAUGAAAUGGGCCAUUGGUGUCUGCAGCACUAUCAGUGAGUGGAUGGAUGGGGGACUGAGGACGUCACAAUGUGGUUUUGAUGUGCCCCUUCUGGGUCAUUGCUACCUAGGAUCCAGCCUCUCCCUAGAUGGAUUUUAAGUCCAUGAUCAUUACUUGGGGAAAGAGGCUUUGUCGUCAUCUCUGUGUCUAUUGUCCAGCUUUGCUUGACUUAUGAAUUAAAGACUCAAAUAGAUUGGAUGCUUUUCAGUGUCAGAUCCUGCCUGAGACGUAUUCCGGAUGUGACACCAACUUUAGAGAAGGGACGUUGGAGCCAUUGUCAGUGAAGGACGACUUCUGGGGAUGAAGCCUACUUUGGGGGGUGAAGGUAGGACUCAACCUGUCACCCUCCUCUUGGGCUGGCUGGCUGGCACAUUGUUCUCAUGGCGAUGGCAGAGGCACAAGAAAGUAAGUGGAAACCCAGGGGUACUUAAGAGUGAAACUUAGAACUGGCACAUUUCUGCCCACUUACCUUUGGCCAAAGAAAAAUCACAUGGCCAAGGCCAAGGGGUGGGAUGGAUACUCCAUCUGUGAGGAGGUCAUGGUGAGGGUGUGGGUGUGGGGAUGGGUGAAGAUGUGGAGCCACUGGGUCAGUCGUCCGCAUGGGCCACUGGGAACGUGGCUUUCAUUCAUCAUUCAUUCAUAACUCAUCAACCUGUACUGUCCUUUCUGCCACGGGAACACUUCGCGGAGCUGAGGCAGGCCAGCAGAGGUGACACAGUCAGGGCCCAAGGCCAUUCUGUUUCAUUCGAGGCGGCGUUGUCCAUGAGCCACCUUCUGUGUUUCUGACAAACAUUAAACCUUUCUCUGGUCCCCAUUGCUUGAAGGCUUGUUGCCCCGAGCCCUGGUAGGACCCAUUUGCUCUCAGGAAGUCCGCCGGAAGUGAUGCCCGCCUCGGAGAAGCAGCGCCGCCCAGCGGUUCUGACGUGCGGUACUUAGUGAGAAGUUGCCCGUGUCUUUUUCGCUUUAUUUGUGACGAAACAUUCGCGGUGCACUUCUUUUUCAGUAUCCAAUGCUGCCUUGAAGACUUCUUAGUUCGGGGGCCGAUUUCAGGGAGGGCACGUUGGCACUUGUAGAUUUCGGUCAAGAUUUUUGCUAAAUCCUUUCUCUCUGCCUCAGUUUCCCCCGAUUUCUUUCAUGAACGCUCCCUUCUUCCCGCCGUGUGGCUUGGGUUGGAUUUAAAACCCCGCCCCUACACGCGCGCAUGCGCACGC
Molecule: RNA transcript, 5622 nt
Organism: Pteropus alecto (black flying fox)
Lineage: Eukaryota; Metazoa; Chordata; Mammalia; Chiroptera; Pteropodidae
Exons: 10
Source: RefSeq, a predicted model, not a curated record